AGAGUUUGAUCCUGGCUCAGAUUGAACGCUGGCGGCAUACCUAACACAUGCAAGUCGCACGCGAAAGGGGGCAACCCCGAGUAGAGUGGCGGACGGGUGCGUAAUACGCAGGAAUCUACCCACGAGUGAGGGACAACCCGGGGAAACCCGGGCUAAUACCGCAUGAGACCUACGGGUGAAAGCGGGGGAUCGCAAGACCUCGCGCUGGUGGAUGAGCCUGCGUCCGAUUAGCUAGUUGGUAGGGUAAAAGCCUACCAAGGCAACGAUCGGUAGCUGGUCCGAGAGGACGACCAGCCACACUGGGACUGAGACACGGCCCAGACUCCUACGGGAGGCAGCAGUGGGGAAUAUUGGACAAUGGGGGCAACCCUGAUCCAGCAAUGCCGCGUGUGUGAAGAAGGCCUUCGGGUUGUAAAGCACUUUCGAUGGGGACAAACGUGUCGGGCUUAAUACGUCCGGCCUUGAUGGUACCCAGAGAAGAAGCACCGGCUAACUCUGUGCCAGCAGCCGCGGUAAUACAGAGGGUGCAAGCGUUAAUCGGAAUUACUGGGCGUAAAGCGUGCGUAGGUGGUUGGAUAAGUCAGGUGUGAAAUCCCCGAGCUCAACUUGGGAAUUGCGCUUGAUACUGUCCGGCUAGAGUGUGGUAGAGGGUAGUGGAAUUCCGCAUGUAGCGGUGAAAUGCGUAGAUAUGCGGAGGAACAUCAGUGGCGAAGGCGGCUACCUGGACCAACACUGACACUGAGGCACGAAAGCGUGGGUAGCAAACAGGAUUAGAUACCCUGGUAGUCC
RNAcentral lists this ribosomal RNA (789 nucleotides) under uncultured bacterium. RNAcentral's name for it is "bacterial SSU rRNA". It matches the Rfam family "Bacterial small subunit ribosomal RNA", at positions 8 to 796 of the family's 1533-position model. The record is from RNAcentral.